AUGAACUGCCUCUUUUGGAAUUGUAGAGGAGCAGGUAAAAGAGGGAGAGCUACCUGCUUCUCUAACAUCAUUAGGGACCACUCCCUCGACUUUAUAGGAAUCCUAGAAAAGAAGAAGGAGAAGUUUACACCCAAAUAUCUACGAAAGAUUGACCACUUUGAGAUAUUUAACUGGAACUGGACCCCUUCCAUUGGUAAGUCUGGUGGUAUCCUUUGUGGAAUCAGAAAAGAAACCUUGGAUAUUGUUUCUUGGGCGGUAGGUAAUUAA
RNAcentral lists this ribosomal RNA (267 nucleotides) under Triticum aestivum (bread wheat). Its description in RNAcentral is "partial small subunit ribosomal RNA". The record is from RNAcentral. Lineage: Eukaryota; Viridiplantae; Streptophyta; Magnoliopsida; Poales; Poaceae.